ACCCACUCAACCCUAGGGGGCCCACAUCAUCUUAACCACACAUCUCUUAAUCCAAUGGCCAAAAACUUGGUAGCACCAAUGAUUUGGUGCUAUUAAUAGUAUACUAGUCUAGUUAUAUAUAUAUAUAUAUAUAGAGAGAGAGAGAGAGAGUUGAGCUAGAAUACUAUCGAUAGCAAACGGACUCCGUUGCCACCCAUUUGUUUUCGGUGAUGGAACCUCCAAAUCGACGAUCGGCACCGUUGAACAUGAUAUAUACCACUUUAAGUGUUUAGAAAUUAAAUUUCAAAUCUUUUCGACAUCAUUUGCCUAAUGAUCAAAGUGUUUCAAAAUUUGUAAUUUUAAUGGUCGAUAUGAGUCGUUUUCUCGUUUAACGACGUAAAGAUAUCCAAAUCAAUUGAAUUUUUGUUAGAAAAUUUUUUAAACUAUUUAAAACAAGAUCUAUACUCUUG
Molecule: long non-coding RNA, 449 nt
Filed under: Ananas comosus (pineapple)
Lineage: Eukaryota; Viridiplantae; Streptophyta; Magnoliopsida; Poales; Bromeliaceae
Description: long non-coding RNA (ACOM_LNC003997)
Source: RNAcentral